Molecule: long non-coding RNA, 853 nt
Organism: Bos taurus (domestic cattle)
Lineage: Eukaryota; Metazoa; Chordata; Mammalia; Artiodactyla; Bovidae
Source: Ensembl
GUGCGAGGGAUGUUUGGGGCAGACCCAAGCAAGCAGUGCACCCACCUCUCUCCUUACCUCCUCGAUGUCCAGGCUGACUGUAGUCGCUUACUCUCAAGCUUUGGUUCUGAAGAACGAGACCUCCUUUGGCCUCUUCUCCAGAGCAGCCUCACCGUGGAGGCCUGACCUCCCCUGUGAACAGCCCCUUAUGGACAUCACAGAGACUUCUUGGUUCUCACUGUGGAAGCUGAGCUCUAAUCCUCUGCUGACAUGCUUCAAAACCAAGUCUUGGACCAGGUACUAGCAGCUAAUGAAGGCAUCGACUGAUCAUUUCUCUCUUGUGCUUUAAGUUUUCUUUUUAAAGAUCGUCUAACAGUUUCAUUGACAGGCAAUACACUGCAUCCGUUUGAAGUGCAUACCUUAACAAUGAACUGAUGAUUUAUGGAGCACCUAGUAUGUAUCAGGUACUUGCCCUACCACCUGUGGGAGCAGAGAGCUUCGACGUCAGACAACCUAGGUCAGAAUCUCGGCUGGAAUUCCAGUUACCAGCCACGUGACCUUGGGCCACUUGUGUCGUCAGGGAAGCCCAAGAAUACUGGAGUGGGUAGCCUAUCCCUUCUCCAGGGGAUCUUCCCAACCAAGGAAUCAAACCGGGGUCUCCUGCAUUGCAGGCAGAUUCUUUACCAGCUGAGCUACCAGAGAAGCCCCGUUGAGCCUCAUGGUUGUGUGUUAAAUUCCCGGGAUGUGCCAGGCAGGUCCACAGAUAGUCUUCUCCUCACCCACAAAGAUGCUGAUAGAGGCUCAGUGUGGCAUGAACUGCUGGGUCCACAGCAAGGAGGAGAAGAGCCAGGAUCGGAGCCCGGGUCUCCUGGGC